RNAcentral lists this long non-coding RNA (425 nucleotides) under Medicago truncatula (barrel medic). RNAcentral's name for it is "long non-coding RNA (MTRU_LNC005701)". The record is from RNAcentral. Lineage: Eukaryota; Viridiplantae; Streptophyta; Magnoliopsida; Fabales; Fabaceae.
UAUUUUUUAGUCUAACAAAUCAGAAGUUCCUUUAAAUUUGUUUUAUUAAAUACUCCAGCCCAAAGCGGACAAUACUUCAAAAAAACGGUUCAGUGGACUUGAGGUUGGAACAUAACAAAAAAAAUAUGCACAAAAACAGAAAAGGAGAUAUCUUCGUACAAACUGACCUGGAUCGACAUUUGAUUUGUUGAGCUACAUCCCUUGUUGUUUAGCAUAACUUGUGAGUUCACAUUUGGCAUUGGAUCCUUUAACUUAGGCAUUUGAUCCUUUAACUUAGAGGCUGAAGCCGAUUCCACGGUUUCCAUUAGUCCUGCUGUUCCACUAGCAUUUAAUUCUACAGCUGAUGAGUUCAUAACAGGCUCUCCGGGAUAAGAAAACAUUGAAGCACUUGGCAUUGGCAUGUGCAGUCCCUGACCAGCUUGAAG